This 314-nucleotide ribosomal RNA is filed under the name uncultured bacterium. RNAcentral's name for it is "bacterial SSU rRNA". It matches the Rfam family "Bacterial small subunit ribosomal RNA", at positions 28 to 342 of the family's 1533-position model. The record is from RNAcentral.
GACGAACGCUGGCGGCGUGCUUAACACAUGCAAGUCGAGCGAGGCCCCUCCUUCGGGAGGGUGUCCUAGCGGCGAACGGGUGAGUAACACGUGGGCAAUCUGCCCCUAGCUCUGGGAUAACCCCGGGAAACCGGGGCGUAUACCGGAUACGACUUCAGAGGGCAUCCUCCGAAGUGGAAAGGGUUUACUGCUAGGGAUGAGCCCGCGGCCUAUCAGCUUGUUGGUGGGGUAAUAGCCUACCAAGGCGACGACGGGUAGCCGGCCUGAGAGGGCGACCGGCCACACUGGGACUGAGACACGGCCCAGACUCCUAC